GAUGAACGCUGGCGGCGUGCCUAAUACAUGCCAGUCGAGCGAACGGACGAGAAGCUUGCUUCUCUGACGUUAGCGGCGGACGGGUGAGUAACACGUGGAUAACCUACCUAUAAGACUGGGAUAACUUCGGGAAACCGUAGCUAAUACCGGAUAAUAUUUUGAACCGCAUGGUUCAAAAGUGAAAGACGGUCUUGCUGUCACUUAUAGAUGGAUCCGCGCUGCAUUAGCUAGUUGGUAAGGUAACGGCUUACCAAGGCAACGAUGCAUAGCCGACCUGAGAGGGUGAUCGGCCACACUGGAACUGAGACACGGUCCAGACUCCUACGGGAGGCAGCAGUAGGGAAUCUUCCGCAAUGGGCGAAAGCCUGACGGAGCAACGCCGCGUGAGUGAUGAAGGUCUUCGGAUCGUAAAACUCUGUUAUUAGGGAAGAACAUAUGUGUAAGUAACUGUGCACAUCUUGACGGUACCUAAUCAGAAAGCCACGGCUAACUACGUG
RNAcentral lists this ribosomal RNA (497 nucleotides) under uncultured bacterium. RNAcentral describes it as "partial 16S ribosomal RNA". It matches the Rfam family "Bacterial small subunit ribosomal RNA", at positions 28 to 507 of the family's 1533-position model. The record is from RNAcentral.